GAUGAACGCUGGCGGCGUGCCUAAUACAUGCAAGUCGAGCGAACAGACGAGGAGCUUGCUCCUCUGACGUUAGCGGCGGACGGGUGAGUAACACGUGGAUAACCUACCUAUAAGACUGGAAUAACUUCGGGAAACCGGAGCUAAUACCGGAUAAUAUAUUGAACCGCAUGGUUCAUUAGUGAAAGACGGUUUUGCUGUCACUUAUAGAUGGAUCCGCGCCGCAUUAGCUAGUUGGUAAGGUAACGGCUUACCAAGGCAACGAUGCGUAGCCGACCUGAGAGGGUGAUCGGCCACACUGGAACUGAGACACGGUCCAGACUCCUACGGGAGGCAGCAGUAGGGAAUCUUCCGCAAUGGGCGAAAGCUUGACGGAGCAACGCCGCGUGAGUGAUGAAGGUCUUCGGAUCGUAAAACUCUGUUAUUAGGGAAGAACAAAUGUGUAAGUAACUAUGCACGUCUUGACGGUACCUAAUCAGAAAGCCACGGCUAACUACGUG
This 497-nucleotide ribosomal RNA is filed under the name uncultured bacterium. Its description in RNAcentral is "partial 16S ribosomal RNA". It matches the Rfam family "Bacterial small subunit ribosomal RNA", at positions 28 to 507 of the family's 1533-position model. The record is from RNAcentral.